AGGUGGAUACAAGAUUGUUCAAAGAAAAGUACCUGAAUUCAUUGUUCCAGAUCUAACAGGAUUUGAGCUAAAGCCAUAUGUCUCCUAUAAAGCACCAAAAGUAGACGAACCACCAAUGACAGCAGAAAGACUUCUUCAGAUGAUCAAAAGCAACAUCCACUUAAUCAAGUUUCGUGAAGUUCCUUGACAUUCUUAUUGAUUUUACUGCGAUUUAAGUUGAUAUGAGCUGUACAGUAAAGUUAAAUGGACAUUUCUUAAAAAAUUGCAGUAAUCUAAAGCAUGGUUACUAUGAGUCAUACCCAGUCUUUUCUUGUGCUGUUUUCAAGCAAACCCAAGAGAGAAAUAAUCUGACACUUUCUAGUACCUAAAAGUUACUGAACUCUAAAUCCAGUUAUGUUAAAAUGUACGUAUAUAUUGCUUAUAUAAAGUUCUCUAUAUAGCAAAUAUAA
This is an RNA transcript of Exaiptasia diaphana, 449 nucleotides long. RefSeq lists it as uncharacterized. Lineage: Eukaryota; Metazoa; Cnidaria; Anthozoa; Actiniaria; Aiptasiidae. The record is from RefSeq and is a predicted model, not a curated record. The transcript has 2 exons.